GACGAACGCUGGCGGCGUGCUUAACACAUGCAAGUCGAACGGAAAGGCCCUGCUUUUGUGGGGUGCUCGAGUGGCGAACGGGUGAGUAACACGUGAGUAACCUGCCCUUGACUUUGGUAUAACUUCAGGAAACUGGGGCUAAUACCGGAUAGGAGCUCCUGCUGCAUGGUGGGGGUUGGAAAGUUUCGGCGGUUGGGGAUGGACUCGCGGCUUAUCAGCUUGUUGGUGGGGUAGUGGCUUACCAAGGCUUUGACGGGUAGCCGGCCUGAGAGGGUGACCGGCCACAUUGGGACUGAGAUACGGCCCAGACUCCUACGGGAGGCAGCAGUGGGGAAUAUUGCACGAUGGGCGGAAGCCUGAUGCAGCAACGCCGCGUGCGGGAUGACGGCCUUCGGGUUGUAAACCGCUUUCGCCUGUGACGAAGCGUGAGUGACGGUAAUGGGUAAAGAAGCACCGGCUAACUACGUG
Molecule: ribosomal RNA, 468 nt
Filed under: uncultured bacterium
Lineage: Bacteria
Description: partial 16S ribosomal RNA
Rfam family: Bacterial small subunit ribosomal RNA
Source: RNAcentral